ACGAACGCUGGCGGCGUGCCUAAUACAUGCAAGUCGAGCGCUGAAGAGAGGAGCUUACUCUUCUUGGAUGAGUUGCGAACGGGUGAGUAACGCGUAGGUAACCUGCCUUGUAGCGGGGGAUAACUAUUGGAAACGAUAGCUAAUACCGCAUAACAAUGGAUGACACAUGUCAUUUAUUUGAAAGGGGCAAUUGCUCCACUACAAGAUGGACCUGCGUUGUAUUAGCUAGUAGGUGAGGUAAGGGCUCACCUAGGCGACGAUACAUAGCCGACCUGAGAGGGUGAUCGGCCAACCUGGGACUGGGACCCGGCCCAGACUCCUACGGGAGGCAGCAGUAGGGAAUCUUCGGCAAUGGGGGCAACCCUGACCGAGCAACGCCGCGUGAGUGAAGAAGGGUUUCGGAUCGGAAAGCUCUGUUGUAAGUCAAGAACGGGUGUGAGAGUGGAAAGUUCACACUGUGACGGUAGCUUACCAGAAAGGGACGGCUAACUACGUG
This 496-nucleotide ribosomal RNA is filed under the name uncultured bacterium. Its description in RNAcentral is "partial 16S ribosomal RNA". It matches the Rfam family "Bacterial small subunit ribosomal RNA", at positions 29 to 507 of the family's 1533-position model. The record is from RNAcentral.